Molecule: long non-coding RNA, 346 nt
Organism: Apus apus (common swift)
Lineage: Eukaryota; Metazoa; Chordata; Aves; Apodiformes; Apodidae
Exons: 2
Source: RefSeq, a predicted model, not a curated record
GCCGUGGCGUUGGCAGCUGUCGGAGGCGGCCUGGCCGGGCUGGGGCCGCUGUGCUGAUCGAGCCUUCCCGUCCGAGCGACGGGCGAGUCCCCCCGCAGAGCUGCCUCCCGCCGGGCCCCCCCGGUAGAGAUGGCCUCCUGCGUGGGUUCCCUGCGUGGGUUCCCUCCGGGAAACGCUGCGGUGGGAGCCCGAGCCCGCCCGGCUGAGGAAGCCACAGAAACAGGGCCAAAAUUACCUGCAGUGAAGUUCAUUCGCGUCCAUCAGAGAUGACGGUCAAGCCUGUACAAUUUUUCUUUGGUUAAAAGAUCAAGAUGACUUCAAAUGCUAAUUAAACAUAGUUUCAUCA